Molecule: ribosomal RNA, 460 nt
Filed under: uncultured bacterium
Lineage: Bacteria
Description: partial 16S ribosomal RNA
Rfam family: Bacterial small subunit ribosomal RNA
Source: RNAcentral
CCUACGGGAGACUGCAGUGAGGAAUAUUGGUCAAUGGGCGCAAGCCUGAACCAGCCAAGUCGCGUGAGGGAAGACGGCCCUACGGGUUGUAAACCUCUUUUGCCGGGGAGCAAGCCUUAGCACGUGUGCCCCGUCGUAGAGUCCCCGGAGACAAAGCAUCGGCUAACUCCGUGCCAGCAGCCGCGGUAAUACGGAGGAUUCGAGCGUUAUCCGGAUUUAUUGGGUUUAAGGGGUGCGCAGGCGGUCUGUAAAGUCAGCGGUCAAAGCCCGGGGCUCAACCCCGGCCCGCCGUUGAAACUGGCAGGCUCGAGUGGGAGAGAAGUAGGCGGAAUGCGCGGUGUAGCGGUGAAAUGCAUAGAUAUCGCGCAGAACUCCGAUUGCGAAGGCAGCAUGCCGGAUCCACACUGACGCUGAGGCACGAAAGCGUGGGUAUCGAACAGGAUUAGAUACCCUGGUAGUC